GCCAAUGUGGCAUAGUGCUUUGAGCGUUGGACCAAGACUUUGGAGACCAGGGUUCGAAUCCCAGCUCGGCCA
This is a non-coding RNA of Phrynosoma platyrhinos (Desert horned lizard), 72 nucleotides long. NCBI's taxonomy places the organism in Eukaryota, Metazoa, Chordata, Lepidosauria, Squamata, Phrynosomatidae. The record is from the annotation of a GenBank genome assembly.